This 575-nucleotide ribosomal RNA is filed under the name uncultured bacterium. Its description in RNAcentral is "bacterial SSU rRNA". It matches the Rfam family "Bacterial small subunit ribosomal RNA", at positions 36 to 538 of the family's 1533-position model. The record is from RNAcentral.
CGGUUAACGGCAGUGCCUAACACAUGCAAGUCGAACGGUAACAGUGGAGCCUUGCUCCUAUUGUGACGAUGCGUGCGUGACGUGGUGAGUAAUGUCUGGGAAACUGCCUGAUGGAGGGGGAUAACUACUGGAAACGGUAGCUAAUACCUGCAUAACGUCUUCGUGACCAAAGUGGGUGGACCUUCGGGCCUCAUGCCAUCAGAUGUGCCCAGAUGGGAUUAGCUAGUAGUGUGGGGUAACGUGCUCACCUAGUGCGACGAUCCCUAGCUGGUCUGAGAGGAUGACCAGCCACACUGGAACUGAGACACGGUCCAGACUCCUGCGGGAGGCAGCAGUGGGGAAUAUUGCACAAUGGGCGCAAGCCUGAUGCAGCCAUGCCGCGUGUAUGAAGAAGGCCUUCGGGUUGUAAAGUACUAUUCAGCGAGGAGGAACGUGCACUUAAGGUUAAUAACCUUAGUGAUUGACGUUACUCGCAGAAGAAGCACCUGGCUAACUCCGUGCCAGCAGCCGCGGUAAUACCAGCGAGAGAGUUGCAAAGCCGUUUACACUCCGCGAAAUUACCUUGGGCGCUAAAG